UCGCUACUACCGAUUGGAUGGUUUAGUGAGGCCCUCGGAUCGGCCCCACCGGGGUCGGCCCACAGCCCUGGCGGAGCGCUGAGAAGACUGUCGAACUUGACUAUCUAGAGGAAGUAAAAAU
This 121-nucleotide non-coding RNA is filed under the name Bos taurus (domestic cattle). Its description in RNAcentral is "Eukaryotic small subunit ribosomal RNA". It matches the Rfam family "Eukaryotic small subunit ribosomal RNA", at positions 1676 to 1789 of the family's 1831-position model. Lineage: Eukaryota; Metazoa; Chordata; Mammalia; Artiodactyla; Bovidae. RNAcentral also lists the same sequence under 1 other name. The record is from Rfam by way of RNAcentral.